GGACCUGGUCAGCGCAGCCGCUAUUAACGACUACGGGUUCCUAGGACCUGACAGCGGUUUACAACUCGAAAGCCUUCAUCUCGCACGCGGCGUCGCAGCGUCACGCUUUCGCGCAUUGGCGAAUGAUUCAGCA
This 133-nucleotide ribosomal RNA is filed under the name uncultured bacterium. RNAcentral describes it as "partial 16S ribosomal RNA". The record is from RNAcentral.